RNAcentral lists this ribosomal RNA (316 nucleotides) under Klebsiella pneumoniae. RNAcentral describes it as "partial 16S ribosomal RNA". It matches the Rfam family "Bacterial small subunit ribosomal RNA", at positions 1227 to 1533 of the family's 1533-position model. The record is from RNAcentral. Lineage: Bacteria; Pseudomonadati; Pseudomonadota; Gammaproteobacteria; Enterobacterales; Enterobacteriaceae.
ACAAUGGCAUAUACAAGAGAAGCGACCUCGCGAGAGCAAGCGGACCUCAUAAAGUAUGUCGUAGUCCGGAUUGGAGUCUGCAACUCGACUCCAUGAAGUCGGAAUCGCUAGUAAUCGUAGAUCAGAAUGCUACGGUGAAUACGUUCCCGGGCCUUGUACACACCGCCCGUCACACCAUGGGAGUGGGUUGCAAAAGAAGUAGGUAGCUUAACCUUCGGGAGGGCGCUUACCACUUUGUGAUUCAUGACUGGGGUGAAGUCGUAACAAGGUAACCGUAGGGGAACCUGCGGUUGGAUCACCUCCUUACCUUAAAGAA